AAUCAACGCUGGCGGCGUGCCUAACACAUGCAAGUCGAACGAGAAAGUGGAGCAAUCCAUGAGUAAAGUGGCGCACGGGUGAGUAACACGUGACUAACCUACCCUGGAGUGGGGGAUAACUGAGGGAAACCUUAGCUAAUACCGCAUAAUACCUACGGGUCAAAGGAGCAAUUCGCUUCAGGAGGGGGUCGCGGCCGAUUAGUUAGUUGGCAGGGUAAUGGCCUACCAAGACGAUGAUCGGUAUCCGGCCUGAGAGGGCGCACGGACACACUGGAACUGAAACACGGUCCAGACUCCUACGGGAGGCAGCAGUGGGGAAUUUUGCGCAAUGGGGGAAACCCUGACGCAGCAACGCCGCGUGGAGGAUGAAGUCCUUCGGGACGUAAACUCCUUUCGAUCGGGACGAUUAUGACGGUACCGGAAAAAGAAGC
RNAcentral lists this ribosomal RNA (431 nucleotides) under bacterium Ellin5018. RNAcentral describes it as "bacterial SSU rRNA". It matches the Rfam family "Bacterial small subunit ribosomal RNA", at positions 32 to 491 of the family's 1533-position model. Lineage: Bacteria; Pseudomonadati; Acidobacteriota; Terriglobia; Terriglobales; Acidobacteriaceae. The record is from RNAcentral.